ACGCUGGCGGCAGGCCUAACACAUGCAAGUCGAGCGGUAGCACAGAGAGCUUGCUCUCGGGUGACGAGCGGCGGACGGGUGAGUAAUGUCUGGGAAACUGCCUGAUGGAGGGGGAUAACUACUGGAAACGGUAGCUAAUACCGCAUAAUGUCGCAAGACCAAAGUGGGGGACCUUCGGGCCUCAUGCCAUCAGAUGUGCCCAGAUGGGAUUAGCUAGUAGGUGGGGUAACGGCUCACCUAGGCGACGAUCCCUAGCUGGUCUGAGAGGAUGACCAGCCACACUGGAACUGAGACACGGUCCAGACUCCUACGGGAGGCAGCAGUGGGGAAUAUUGCACAAUGGGCGCAAGCCUGAUGCAGCCAUGCCGCGUGUGUGAAGAAGGCCUUCGGGUUGUAAAGCACUUUCAGCGGGGAGGAAGGCGAUAAGGUUAAUAACCUUGUCGAUUGACGUUACCCGCAGAAGAAGCACCGGCUAACUCCGUGCCAGCAGCCGCGGUAAUACGGAGGGUGCAAGCGUUAAUCGGAAUUACUGGGCGUAAAGCGCACGCAGGCGGUCUGUCAAGUCGGAUGUGAAAUCCCCGGGCUCAACCUGGGAACUGCAUUCGAAACUGGCAGGCUAGAGUCUUGUAGAGGGGGGUAGAAUUCCAGGUGUAGCGGUGAAAUGCGUAGAGAUCUGGAGGAAUACCGGUGGCGAAGGCGGCCCCCUGGACAAAGACUGACGCUCAGGUGCGAAAGCGUGGGGAGCAAACAGGAUUAGAUACCCUGGUAGUCCACGCCGUAAACGAUGUCGAUUUGGAGGUUGUGCCCUUGAGGCGUGGCUUCCGGAGCUAACGCGUUAAAUCGACCGCCUGGGGAGUACGGCCGCAAGGUUAAAACUCAAAUGAAUUGACGGGGGCCCGCACAAGCGGUGGAGCAUGUGGUUUAAUUCGAUGCAACGCGAAGAACCUUACCUGGUCUUGACAUCCACAGAACUUUCCAGAGAUGGAUUGGUGCCUUCGGGAACUGUGAGACAGGUGCUGCAUGGCUGUCGUCAGCUCGUGUUGUGAAAUGUUGGGUUAAGUCCCGCAACGAGCGCAACCCUUAUCCUUUGUUGCCAGCGGUCCGGCCGGGAACUCAAAGGAGACUGCCAGUGAUAAACUGGAGGAAGGUGGGGAUGACGUCAAGUCAUCAUGGCCCUUACGACCAGGGCUACACACGUGCUACAAUGGCAUAUACAAAGAGAAGCGACCUCGCGAGAGCAAGCGGACCUCAUAAAGUAUGUCGUAGUCCGGAUUGGAGUCUGCAACUCGACUCCAUGAAGUCGGAAUCGCUAGUAAUCGUAGAUCAGAAUGCUACGGUGAAUACGUUC
RNAcentral lists this ribosomal RNA (1348 nucleotides) under Klebsiella pneumoniae. RNAcentral's name for it is "bacterial SSU rRNA". It matches the Rfam family "Bacterial small subunit ribosomal RNA", at positions 33 to 1373 of the family's 1533-position model. The record is from RNAcentral. Lineage: Bacteria; Pseudomonadati; Pseudomonadota; Gammaproteobacteria; Enterobacterales; Enterobacteriaceae.